Pimephales promelas (fathead minnow) is the source of this 1995-nucleotide non-coding RNA. The record is from RefSeq and is a predicted model, not a curated record. NCBI's taxonomy places the organism in Eukaryota, Metazoa, Chordata, Actinopteri, Cypriniformes, Leuciscidae.
ACACACACAACCUUGAGGCGGAUGGGCUACAACAGCAGAAGACCCCACCGGGUACCACUCAUCUCCACUGAGCUGUAGUGGAAGACCAUCCGUGCCUCUGAGGAACCAGUCGGCGUCCUGGAGAUACUGAAAGCGGGCAACGACACAUUUGUGGUGGUUGAAAACCUGAGAUACCUACUUUGUCAGCAUGACACAGAGAAGCCUGUUUAUUUCGGGCACGGGUUCCGGCCGCUUGUUCGUCAGGGUUACAUGAGCGGAGGAGCCGGAUAAGUUCUGAGCCGAGAGGCUCUCAGGAGAUUUGUGCAAGGUUUCGACACGGAAAGCUACAAGCAUUUCAGCUCCGUGGAGGACAUGGCCUUGGGGAGGAGGAUGGAGACCAUGGGAGUGAAGGCCGGGGAUUCAAGAGAUCCAAACAAACAAGAAACAUUUAAUCCUUUUACACCGGAAAACCUUCGCCAGAGAGUGGAAAACGAGCCUGCUACAGUUACUACACAACAAAACAGGGCGAGCAAAGCGGAAGAUCUCAUUGGCCUUUCUGAUGCCACUACCUGUGUUGAUGUGGCUGUAGAGAACGACCCCUACACGCGUCACCUCCGGACUGACUGACACACGGUCGAUCAAGGUGGGCCAGGAUAGCCCUCUCCCUUCAGCCCUGGAGGUCCAAUGGGUCCUUGUAACCCCAUUUCACCCUAAAGACAAACAAAAUUGAUCAUCUGAGUCACAAAAGAACAGUGCAGAUUUCAACUGGGAAGUCACUCCUACCUUCGGCCCUGCAAUACCUAUCCCUGUUUCUCCGGCAAGUCCUGAUGGACCAGCUGGCCCUGGAUCUCCCUACAGGAAGAUGAACAAUUGAACAUGGAAUGAGAUCUCCUGAUAAAGCUUGAUUUCUUUAACAUACCUUAGCUCCGGGUAUGCCUCUUCCCGAAGGCCCAGGAACACCUGGAAGUCCAACAUUCCCUGGUUGUCCCUAUUUUAAUUGAACGACAAAGAACAUUCAGAGAACAGCGGUCAUGUCACCACAGUUUAGUUGAAACGACAACCUACUUUGGGCCCUGGUUCUCCGAUUCCUCUUUCUCCAGUGGCUCCAGGAUCUCCAGGGAAUCCUUGUUCUCCCUAAAAGAGCAGACAAAACAAAGUUAUAUAUCCUUCAAAGAAAAGGUCAGAGAGCCUAUCUAUCGAAAAGGGAAUGACCUUAAAAAGAAGCAGGAACAGCAACGGUCUCUGCUCACCUUAGGGCCAGGGAGUCCCUCGCCUGGAGCUCCUGGGUUCCCCUGUGAUCCUGAUAGACCUGGCUGACCAAUGCCAACCUGACCUGGAGGACCUGUUCUUCCAGGGUUUCCUUUGUCGCCCUAAAAGAAAUCAUUUUCCUGUUGAGAACAACCAGCUGAAAAGUUUACCUUUGGUCCAGGGAAUCCAAUUCCAAUAUCUCCCGGCGGGCCAGACGCACCAGACGGCCCUCGGUCCCCCUAGGAACAACCUGAAGAUCUUCCCUGUGGAUGAGGAACCAGGAACAAGAACCGUGUUGGUCAGAGAGUCAGAGAUAAAAUGUAUAAACUGACCCUAUGAAGAUGUGAUGUACCUCUGGACCAUUGAAUCCUGGAAGACCAGGUGCUCCUGUUUCCCCCUGUAAAAUCAGUCAGAGCAGUGCAUCAACAACAAUACACUACAGUCUAAUCAUCUUUAAACACAUAUGGUAUUUUCACUCUCACCCUUGAGCCUUUUGCACCAGGCGGUCCUUCAUAACCUUGCUCUCCUUUUUCACCCUAAAAAUAGAGCUGUCUUCAUGAACGCCACAAGUGAAGGAAAAUGGCCUCAAUUCAAUCCCAGCAAUACUCACGGAAGCUCCUGGAAGACCUCGUUCACCUUUCUCACACGAACACGCCGGUGGCCGUGGGCACUGGCAAGACAAAUACAACCGCGACCGCCGCCAUGAUGUCAGGAUUCCUCGGAUGGUCGAUGCCGUCUGUCAUGAGCAGGGCCACCCGGACACUCUGC